Long non-coding RNA from Vigna angularis (adzuki bean), 392 nucleotides. RefSeq lists it as uncharacterized. The record is from RefSeq and is a predicted model, not a curated record. Lineage: Eukaryota; Viridiplantae; Streptophyta; Magnoliopsida; Fabales; Fabaceae. The transcript has 2 exons.
UUUCAGUUACUUUUUCUCUCUCUAAACUCAAUUCCAUUUUUCUUCUUCUUGCUCUGACUUUUCUCUACUUUUCCACCACUUCCCACUGUUGAAAUUUCAAAUAGGUAGUGUGCUUUCGUUCACGGAGUUGAGAGCUUCCCAUUCAUCCGAUUAAAAUUCUGCUUUGGACGGAUGAAGAGGAGGUGUCUGUGGAGCAAGCGCUGGAAGAAGGUGAUGCUGCAGCUUAGUAUGUCUAGGAUAUUGAUUAGUAGUAUUAUUCUGAUGAUAAUUCACAGUGGUCCUUUAUGUUUAAGAGACCAACUCUGAUUUUAUUUUGGAUGACUGUAACCAAUAUAGUCUGUUAUAUGUCUCUAAUUACUUUCCAAUAUUAUAACUGAAUGACGUCUUUAUUA